This 85-nucleotide transfer RNA is filed under the name Mus musculus (house mouse). It matches the Rfam family "tRNA". From Rfam's summary of the family: Transfer RNA (tRNA) molecules are approximately 80 nucleotides in length. The record is from Rfam by way of RNAcentral. Lineage: Eukaryota; Metazoa; Chordata; Mammalia; Rodentia; Muridae.
ACUGGGAUGGCUGAGUGGUUAAGGCAUUUGGCUUAAGAUCCAAUGGGCAGAGAUGCCUGUGUGGGUUCUAACUUCACUCCCAAUA